RNAcentral lists this ribosomal RNA (543 nucleotides) under Triticum aestivum (bread wheat). RNAcentral's name for it is "partial small subunit ribosomal RNA". Lineage: Eukaryota; Viridiplantae; Streptophyta; Magnoliopsida; Poales; Poaceae. The record is from RNAcentral.
AUGAUGUAUAGUCUAUCAUUGAGCAACAAUGAUCUCUCAGGGGAAUUCCCUAAAUUUCCUCGUGGUGCCUCACAUUUGGGUUUCCUUGAUCUCUCAUACAAUACGUUCUUUGGAACAUUGCCAAAGUGGUUACCAGAAAAAAUGCCACUAUUGCAAAUCCUGAGGUUGAGAUCAAACAUGUUUAGUGGUCAUAUUCCUAAUAACCUUGUUUUCCUGGAAAGACUUCAUUAUUUGGACUUGGCCCGUAACAAUAUAUCAGGAAGCAUACCAUGGUCACUAUCAAACUUGAAAGCAAUGAGAAUCAUAUAUGAUAAUAAGUCAGCCUACGAUUUUGAGGAUAACAUACAAGUAAUCACAAAAGGCCAAACCCGUGAAUAUUCCAUUGAAAUCUACCAGCUGCUGAUGAAUCUUGAUCUGUCAUGUAACAGUAUAACGGGACAGAUUCCAGCAGAAAUACAUUUGCUGAUUGGGCUUACCAACUUGAACUUAUCAUGUAAUCAGUUGAUCGGCAAAAUCCCAAACAAGAUUGGUGAUCUGAAGUAG